CUCCUCGUCUGUGUAUGGCACUGGUAGAAUUCACUGUCUCGGCAUCCUCUCAGUGAAUUACCACAGGGCCAUAAACAGCCUAGAGA
RNAcentral lists this microRNA precursor (86 nucleotides) under Tetraodon nigroviridis (spotted green pufferfish). RNAcentral's name for it is "Danio rerio miR-183 stem-loop (ENSTNIG00000020077.1)". The stretch from base 7 to 80 matches the Rfam family "mir-183 microRNA precursor family". The record is from RNAcentral. Lineage: Eukaryota; Metazoa; Chordata; Actinopteri; Tetraodontiformes; Tetraodontidae.